Molecule: non-coding RNA, 1056 nt
Organism: Punica granatum (pomegranate)
Lineage: Eukaryota; Viridiplantae; Streptophyta; Magnoliopsida; Myrtales; Lythraceae
Source: RefSeq, a predicted model, not a curated record
CCUUUCUUUUUCUUUCUUUUCUGUAUUGUUCGGCUGGAAGAGAGACGAAAACAGAGGAAACAGAGCAUACGAGAGAGAGAGAGAAGAGAGAGAAGGCCGAGCGAGCUGAAGAGGAAGGCGAAGAGAGGGACAGCUUCGGGGAGCUUCCGAACCGGGCUUAAGCCCCGUUAUUUCUCUUACCUAAAUGAAGACUGGUGCGGGUAGAAAUGGAACAGAGGAAAGAGAAAGAGAGAGCUAGGCUUGGGCUCUUGAUGGAUGGAGUAUACAAAAGCCAUGUAUCUCGAAAACUUGAACUUGGUGAUUUAUUAAUGGGAGUUACCGAUGAGCUAGGAACUAGACUAGCAUCACAGGAGAACUUUUUGGACAUCGGGGAUUAGCUCGAAGGACUAGGUAGGGACCUUAAUUAAUAAAUAUUCAUUUUGUAUAAAAUGUACUGAAUAUGUUACGAUCCGAAAUUUUUGAUUAGUUGGUUGAGUGAGGUGGUUUCUUGGGAAAAAAUAUAUAUAUAUGUGUGUGUGUGUGUGUGUGAGAACUUGCUGAAUUGGUUAUAUAUUGGGAAAUUAUGAAAAGCAGGUUCUAUAUGGAUAGUUUAUGUGAUAUUGGAUAUCGAGGAAAUAUAGGGGAAACUCUGCUGAAUUUUCGGGUCGUGACAAUUUUCAACCUCGUGCCCUGUCUGGUUGUGGUUAUGGAACACACUACAUUUGAACGGGGUAUCGUAUAUGGGCCAGGGGAGAAUGAUGCGGUAGAAGACGCGGCAAGUCGGUACCUGGAGAAAAAUAGGAUCUGACAACCCUAUUUCGAAGAAAACGGCAUUCGGAGCAAAACUCGCUACUUCGCCGUGAUUUUUCAAUAUUUAAGACAAAUUCCAUCAAUUAGAGUCUCAAACAGGCAAUUUAUGUUAUUUAGGACGUUUUUACAAUUUUAGAAAAGUUUAUGUUUUUUAUGCAAUUUAAGCAUUUUUAAGACAUAUUUAAGCUUUGUACAACCCUAGGAUUGAAGGAGUUGAAUUUCGGAUUUAUCAAUAAAGUUGUAGAGCUACCGUGCUCUUUCUUCCAA